Molecule: ribosomal RNA, 404 nt
Filed under: Fusobacteriota bacterium
Lineage: Bacteria; Fusobacteriati; Fusobacteriota
Description: Fusobacteria bacterium partial 16S ribosomal RNA
Rfam family: Bacterial small subunit ribosomal RNA
Source: RNAcentral
UGGGGAAUAUUGCACAAUGGAGGGAACUCUGAUGCAGCGACGCCGCGUGAGUGAUGAAGGAAUUCGUUUCGUAAAACUCUGUUCUAUGGGAAGAAAAGGACUGUACCAUAGGAGAAAGCUCCGGCUAAAUACGUGCCAGCAGCCGCGGUAAUACGUAUGGGGCGAGCGUUGUCCGGAAUUAUUGGGCGUAAAGGGUGCGCAGGCGGCUUUACAAGUUGGAUGUGAAAUAUUGUGGCUCAACCACAAACGUGCAUCCAAAACUGCAAAGCUUGAGUUAAGGAGAGGUAAGUGGAAUUCCUGGUGUAGCGGUGGAAUGCGUAGAUAUCAGGAGGAAUACCGGUGGCGAAGGCGACUUACUGGACUUAAACUGACGCUCAGGCACGAAAGCGUGGGGAGCAAACAGG